CAGGGAGACAACAACUGAUCGUGAUGUCUGAGUUAUUGAUACUUAGGCCAUGAUCCUGUCACCUUAGGUCGAUCGGUACCUCAAAUUGAGCAUCAAAGAAGGGUUGAGAAAUCAGCUUGGAGAUUGAUAAUUAAUUUCAGUUCCUAAACUUGUCUAGGUCACAUCCCGCAAGGCUCUCUCCUGGGCCAUUAGCUCAGGUGGUUAGAGCGCACCCCUGAUAAGGGUGAGGUCCCUGGUUCAAGUCCAGGAUGGCCCAUUCGGUGUUGGGGGUAUAGCUCAGUUGGUAGAGCGCCUGCUUUGCAAGCAGGAUGUCAGCGGUUCGAGUCCGCUUACCUCCACUGAUAACCACCUCUUCCAUAUCUGUAAAAGGAAAUUUUUUGAGUUGUGAUCAAAUUCUGAACGAAUCUAGCUUCCUAAUGAAAUCAUUAAGAUGCUGGACUCAUUGAAUUAAAUUCAUUGUUUUCAGAGAACCUUGACAACUGCAUAGAUUAUUUUUAAAGACAAUAAGCAUCUUUAAUGAUGCAGAUUUAUUAUUUGUGCGAAUGCAUUAAUAACAAUUCUAUUAAGCUGAUGCUUCAAUUUUUGAAGUUAUU
This 593-nucleotide transfer RNA is filed under the name uncultured cyanobacterium. Its description in RNAcentral is "partial 16S-23S ribosomal RNA intergenic spacer". The stretch from base 266 to 338 matches the Rfam family "tRNA". Lineage: Bacteria; Bacillati; Cyanobacteriota. The record is from RNAcentral.